UAGGUGGGAGGCUUUGAAGUUGGAACGCUAGUUCCAAUGGAGCCGUCCUUGAAAUACCACCCUGGUAAUGUUGAGGUUCUAACUCUGUCCCGUUAUCCGGGACGAGGACCGUGUCUGGUGGGUAGUUUGACUGGGGCGGUCUCCUCCUAAAGAGUAACGGAGGAGUACGAAGGUGCGCUCAGCGUGGUCGGAAAUCACGCGUAGAGUAUAAAGGCAAAAGCGCGCUUAACUGCGAGACCCACAAGUCGAGCAGGUACGAAAGUAGGUCUUAGUGAUCCGGUGGUUCUGUAUGGAAGGGCCAUCGCUCAACGGAUAAAAGGUACUCUGGGGAUAACAGGCUGAUACCGCCCAAGAGUUCAUAUCGACGGCGGUGUUUGGCACCUCGAUGUCGGCUCAUCUCAUCCUGGGGCUGAAGCAGGUCCCAAGGGUAUGGCUGUUCGCCAUUUAAAGAGGUACGCGAGCUGGGUUUAGAACGUCGUGAGACAGUUCGGUCCCUAUCUACCGUGGGCGCUGGAAAUUUGAGAGGAUCUGCUCCUAGUACGAGAGGACCAGAGUGGACGAACCUCUGGUGUACCGGUUGUGACGCCAGUCGCAUCGCCGGGUAGCUAUGUUCGGAAGGGAUAACCGCUGAAAGCAUCUAAGCGGGAAGCCUACCUCAAGAUAAGAUUUCCCUAGGAAUUUAUUCCUCUAAAGAGCCGUUCGAGACUAGGACGUUGAUAGGUUGGAUGUGGAAGCAUAGUGAUAUGUGAAGCUGACCAAUACUAAUUGCUCGUGAGGCUUGACUAUACAACACCCAAGCAGUUG
RNAcentral lists this ribosomal RNA (804 nucleotides) under Acinetobacter pittii. RNAcentral's name for it is "partial 23S ribosomal RNA". It matches the Rfam family "Bacterial large subunit ribosomal RNA", at positions 2144 to 2925 of the family's 2925-position model. The record is from RNAcentral. Lineage: Bacteria; Pseudomonadati; Pseudomonadota; Gammaproteobacteria; Moraxellales; Moraxellaceae.